This 101-nucleotide ribosomal RNA is filed under the name Zehneria filipes. Its description in RNAcentral is "partial 5.8S ribosomal RNA". It matches the Rfam family "5.8S ribosomal RNA", at positions 54 to 152 of the family's 154-position model. Rfam says of the family: 5.8S ribosomal RNA (5.8S rRNA) is a component of the large subunit of the eukaryotic ribosome. It is transcribed by RNA polymerase I as part of the 45S precursor that also contains 18S and 28S rRNA. The record is from RNAcentral. Lineage: Eukaryota; Viridiplantae; Streptophyta; Magnoliopsida; Cucurbitales; Cucurbitaceae. RNAcentral also lists the same sequence under 5 other names.
UGCGAUACUUGGUGUGAAUUGCAGGAUCCCGCGAACCACCGAGUCUUUGAACGCAAGUUGCGCCCGGAGCCUUCUGGCCGAGGGCACGUCUGCCUGGGCGU